Molecule: ribosomal RNA, 464 nt
Filed under: uncultured bacterium
Lineage: Bacteria
Description: partial 16S ribosomal RNA
Rfam family: Bacterial small subunit ribosomal RNA
Source: RNAcentral
GACGAACGCUGGCGGCGUGCUUAACACAUGCAAGUCGAACGGAAAGGCCCCUUUGGGGGUACUCGAGUGGCGAACGGGUGAGUAACACGUGAGUAACCUGCCCUUGACUUCGGGAUAACUUCAGGAAACUGGGGCUAAUACCGGAUAGGAAUCCUUGCUGCAUGGUGGGGGUUGGAAAGCUUCGGCGGUUUUGGAUGGACUCGCGGCUUAUCAGCUUGUUGGUGGGUAGUGGCUUACCAAGGCUUUGACGGGUAGCCGGCCUGAGAGGGCGACCGGCCACAUUGGGACUGAGAUACGGCCCAGACUCCUACGGGAGGCAGCAGUGGGGAAUAUUGCACAAUGGGCGGAAGCCUGAUGCAGCAACGCCGCGUGCGGGAUGACGGCCUUCGGGUUGUAAACCGCUUUCAGCAGGGGCGAAGCUUGUGGUGACGGUACCUGCAGAAGAAGCACCGGCUAACUACGUG